This 264-nucleotide long non-coding RNA is filed under the name Lathyrus oleraceus (garden pea). RNAcentral describes it as "Pisum sativum (pea) long non-coding RNA (PSAT_LNC033263)". Lineage: Eukaryota; Viridiplantae; Streptophyta; Magnoliopsida; Fabales; Fabaceae. The record is from RNAcentral.
UGAAGGGCUUAUUUCCCACUUCAUUUAUUUUGAAAAGAUGUAUCCCCGGCAUGUUGCUUGUUGAUGAAGGAUUCAUUUCCAAUUUCUCCAGCAAGGGUAGUUUCCUCAAGAGCAUUUACAGCUUGUCCCCGGUAGGGUUGCCAGAUCAGAGUUUGAUGUUUGUAUCUCCUCCGAAUUUGAAGAUUUCUUCUAGCAUUAAGAGAUGGUGGUGAAAAUGUUUAUUUCCUUCCCUAGUGGAGCAAAUGCUAUUAUUCCCCUUUGCAG